UGUGUGUGUUGAGAUCAAGAAAACUCGAGCGUUGCCGACGCUCGUUUGCCCUGGCAGGUAUCGCGCGUAGCCUCGGUGGGCGGUGCUGGAACAUUUGGAAACCAGGCGAUAACGUGAAGGUUGGAUUAGCCGAAAGUUUGAACCGCUGAAACCCCAGCUCCAGGCUCUCCACCGCACCCCGCCUGGGAUUUGAUGUACGAGCCGGAAUGACCAUGCGUCCCUCACUCGGCGUCUCGCUAUGUAAUUUGUCUUCAUUGUUGUCGAGCCAAUAUUCAUACUGCUGAUGCUGGAAUGUGAAUGUUAUCGACGGCAACAUGUUAAACAAUCGGAGUAGGACGAUGUACAUGCUUUGUGGAUGAGAUCGGGAUAGACGACGACGAGGAGGAGGAAGAUGAUGGUGGUUUGAAAGAGGGUUAAGAUGAAUUAGUUUUUGCAGAGCCUAUCAUGGGUGUGUUAAUGAGCUUCGGGGAGAGGAGCAGCUUGAACGCUUGAAAGUUGUUCCACAUUAGAGGUAAGUUUUUCGGGGUUUUUCGGUGGGUUUGGGGUUGUUUAUAUGGGAUUGCGCUUCGGAGAUGACGUAGUUGUCUGUAAUUGAUGCUAGUUGAACAAUGUAUUGUUGUGGGAGACUGAUUGAUUCUCACCGGAUGUCCUAUGUUAUUUUAUGUUAUGUGGUUCUCAUAGGUAAUAUGCAUGGUAACAUCGUUGGUUUGCCGAGAAGAGCGUUCUUUCAAGGACUUGAUCGCGAUUCUUUGUUGGGUUUCACAUACUUUUGAUGCUGAAGUGUUUUGUUUGACAAGUGGCGAUAAGUCAAUCUGUCGAAGAUUUUGACCUCGUUGCUUCUUUUGCGUUUCUUGAGAUACAACUGUGUGUAGGGGAAGACUGUUUGGCCAGCGAGAUGUAUGUGGACCAAGAUCUCGUUGAACACAGGGAUCGCAGGGAUAGCAGUGACAGAGAUGGUAUCAAAGAGGAAAUGGCUCAUUUCUAUUCGCCGAAAGCCACCACAAUGAAGACGGAGAUCUUCGCGUCAAAGAUGAAGGAAGACAGCGUAAUGAGGAAAGUGGAAGGCAGAGCAAUAAGAAUUGAGAAAUAAAUCACGGCGACGAUGACGAGUGUUAGUGCAGCGACGUCAGCAAGGGUGGAAAAGAACAUCACAACAAACAUGGGAGAAAACUUGACAAUGAAAAUGGAGAAGAGCACUACAAUGAGUAACACUUUAGCUGUAUACUAAACAUUUUUCUUUUGGAACUUGGAACUGUUAAAGGACGGAGUUGAUUGAAAGAGAAUCGAUUGAUAAACAAUCAUCUAUGAAGGAGUUGACAAUUAUGGGUGGUUUGGGUGAAAAUUCAUUGAACCGGGUUGAGAUUUUUUCUUCUCUUUCUACGAUUGUCCUUUACGGACAUCUUCUGGAGAGUCGAAACAACAGUGUAUGAGCAAGAAAGAUAGAUAUGAGAAGGAUUAGAAAACGCGGAAGCUGAGAUCCCCAACGGAAGUGUAGGGCUAGUAAAAGGCCAACUCUUAGGAAGAUAGUCGAUGGGAAUCUAUCAACGGUUACAAGGUGUUGAAAGCUUCCAACCUUCGCCGACAGAACGAAGGCUAGCUUGAAAGACAAUGUUCAUCUAGUCAGGGCGUACGAAAGGCGGAGAGAAGAAUUUGGAAAGGUCGAAAGUAUCUGGGAUUGGAGGAUCCAUACAAGUAGAAGCAUAAAGAAGUCUCUGAGGCGUAUCUACAGAUGAAAUCAUCGGUGAUCUCCUCUGUGGCUGGUGACGAAUAUUCUUUAGAGGGCAUCAAAGUACGGGAGGUUGUCAAGAGCUCAACAUUUCUACCCGUCCCCUCAGGAACUUGGUUCAAAAGGUUCCAGGUGUUGUUCGCCAUGGAUAGCCUUUAUCACAGAUUCAGAAUGCUGCCAUGUAGAUAAGAGGUUCAGAAUCUGGUGACGCGCCGUUCCUAUCUAUAUUCUGAGUUGAACCUUUUAUGAACCUAAAAGGCGGUUAAUGAGGAUGAGGAUGUUAAUAAUUCCAGGUUUCAUCUCCGAUAAUGGAGCAGCAUUAGGCGAUAGGUCACGCCAUUAUGGUGCUGUUCGUCAAUAAGGAUUGGGUAUAUCUUAGGUAGUCAUAUUUGUAGGAAGCAGCUGCUGCUCUAGAUAAAGACUAUACGCUGAGGCACAGAAACGAAGACCUGGAGCCUGCUGUUUAGCUGGUACGAGGAAACUGUGAAAGUGGCAUUCAUUUAGACGGAAGUUCAGUGAUAGGCAUCCGGUAACAGUAAUCGCUCGCCUUCCAAAAUAGAUUUAGACCUGGAGCUCUGGAAGAUUUGCAUUAUCAUGUGGAUCUCAAGAUUCAGAUCUUCCUCAAGGUGAAUUACCCUCACUUGAAUUUUUCCAGCUUCGUAUAAUGUGCAAAUAGUGGAACCGCCUUACAUCAAACCAGGAUUUUCUGCUUUACUAAUAUCGGCCUCUUCUUAGCCCAUGAUGAUUGGCAAAAAUGUGGUGGCGAACGAUUAAAAAUCUCAUUAAAAAAAUGAGCGUGCAACCAGUGUUCUUGCUUGUGUGAAAGACUCGUGCCAGUAGGAGAAGGUGUACUCAUGUACGCAAUUGCCAACGAUUUUAUGACCCCGAUGCUGGAGAAUAAUCGGUGCUAAAACAUGGAGGCAUUGAUUGAGGGAACAAUCAUUGAAGCGUGACAUCUGAGGCCGUGGAUAUCACCGGCGCGUCAGCAGGUGCCGAAUCUCCUCUCUGCAUGCGUGUGAUUCCAAGUUCUCCAUGUUUUUCGCAAGAUUCCGAAAACAGCACCUAGAAUCUUUACGUCACGGUUCUUGUCCAAGCCACCCGAAAUUUCGUUGGUAUCCAGGAGGGCCACGGUGCACCCUCGCUCAUUGUGGAAGACGCACAAAACCUGCUGUGAGCUCCAACUCCAAGCUGCCAGACCCCAAGACGAUUUCUCCCUUUCGCGUGCAAAUUACACUAACCUUGGCAACAACUCGAUCGAAUGAACCUCUUCCACUGGACGCAAGAGAGGUCCAAGUCCUCUGCAAAUAGCCGAUACUAUCUGCUCGAUAUCAAUGCCCACCUAGGGCUCGUGGUGCGAACUCUAGAAACAAUUGAACAUGCUUUGUCUGGCCGUUACUUUUCUCAAGGUGUGAAACAGGUUCUUAAUUGGAAUUUUGAGAGACGAACUGACGGCAUUCUUACACCUUAGUGCAAAUGAUCCUGGUAUGUAAGAACAUCUAGUUUAGUAAUAGUUCACAGUUUCCAAGCGUGACUCUCGAGUCAGAACUGAAUACUACUUCCUGGCCCCAUCUGGAGCAAUGUUUCAGAGAACAUUACACGACUUACGCCACGUUGAAGCACGCGAAGAGGAGCAAAUAUUUGUACAAGCAUCAGUACAAAAGUAUAUACCAUUUUCUUGGAUAUUGUUGCAGGGAAUUAGAUCAAUGAAUGUCGUGCAGAAGUGGUUCCUGUAUACUUUCAUGUCUAUUGUAAAGUUGCAUGAUGACCUAUAAUCCAGUGAAGAAAAGCAUUAA
Molecule: non-coding RNA, 3519 nt
Organism: Physcomitrium patens
Lineage: Eukaryota; Viridiplantae; Streptophyta; Bryopsida; Funariales; Funariaceae
Source: RefSeq, a predicted model, not a curated record